GCGACCCCAGAGCAGGUCGGUGUACAUGAUACCAAGGAACACACUGGACAGGUGAAGUUUGUACAGGGUUUGAACCAACGCAACGUUUUAUGUC
Haliotis rubra (blacklip abalone) is the source of this 94-nucleotide long non-coding RNA. RefSeq lists it as uncharacterized. Lineage: Eukaryota; Metazoa; Mollusca; Gastropoda; Lepetellida; Haliotidae. The transcript has 4 exons. The record is from RefSeq and is a predicted model, not a curated record.